This 351-nucleotide unclassified non-coding RNA is filed under the name soil metagenome. RNAcentral describes it as "partial contains 5.8S ribosomal RNA, internal transcribed spacer 2, and large subunit ribosomal RNA". The stretch from base 1 to 120 matches the Rfam family "5.8S ribosomal RNA", at positions 35 to 154 of the family's 154-position model. The record is from RNAcentral.
GAUGAAGAACGUAGUGAAAUGCGAUAAGUAAUGUGAAUUGCAGAAUUCAGUGAAUCAUCGAAUCUUUGAACGCACAUUGCGCCCGCUAGUAUUCUGGCGGGCAUGCCUGUCCGAGCGUCAUUGCAACCUUCAAGCGCGGCUUGUGUGUUGGGUCUCGUCCCCCGUGGACGGGCCCGAAAGGCAGUGGCGGCGCCCGAAUCUGGUGCCUGAGCGUAUGGGAAUUUUCUUUCCGCUCAACGUGGCCCGGCGGACGCUGGUCUUCUUAACCAAAGGAUCUUGCAUUCUUUACCGGUUGACCUCGGAUCAGGUAGGGAUACCCGCUGAACUUAAGCAUAUCAAUAAGCCGGAGGA